UUAAUACCCAAUCCCUGACACAGGGAGGUAGUGACAAGAAAUAACAAUACAGGGCUAAUGUCUUGUAAUUGGAAUGAUGGUGACCCAAACCCUCACCAGAGUAGCAAUUGGAGGGCAAGUCUGGUGCCAGCAGCCGCGGUAAUUCCAGCUCCAAUAGCGUAUAUUAAACUUGUUGCAGUUAAAAAGCUCGUAGUUGAAUUUUAGCGUGUUCGAGUUUGCCAUUCGUUUGGCUUUUUCGAGUUCGCUUUUGGGUUUUCCCUUUUUACUUUGAGAAAAUUAGAGUGUUUCAAGCAGACUUUUGUCUUGAAUACUUCAGCAUGGAAUAAUAGAGUAGGACUUUGGUUCUAUUGUGUUGGUUAUUGAACCUUAGUAAUGGUUAAUAGGAACGGUUGGGGGCAUUUCGUAUUUAAA
Molecule: ribosomal RNA, 411 nt
Filed under: Babesia vogeli
Lineage: Eukaryota; Apicomplexa; Aconoidasida; Piroplasmida; Babesiidae
Description: SSU rRNA
Rfam family: Eukaryotic small subunit ribosomal RNA
Source: RNAcentral